UACGGAAGGCAGCAGGGGGAAUAUUGCACAAUGGGCGCAAGCCUGAUGCAGCCAUGCCGCGUGUAUGAAAAAGGCCUUCGGGUUGUAAAGUACUUUCAGUCGUGAGGAAGGUGUUAAGGUUAAUAACCUUAGCAAUUGACGUUAGCGACAGAAGAAGCACCGGCUAACUCCGUGCCAGCAGCCGCGGUAAUACGGAGGGUGCGAGCGUUAAUCGGAAUUACUGGGCGUAAAGGGCACGCAGGCGGUUAAUUAAGUUGGAUGUGAAAUCCCCGGGCUUAACCUGGGAAUGGCAUUCAAGACUGGUUAGCUAGAGUCUUGUAGAGGGGGUUAGAAUUCCAUGUGUAGCGGUGAAAUGCGUAGAGAUGUGGAGGAAUACCGGUGGCGAAGGCGGCCCCUGGACAAAGACUGACGCUCAUGUGCGAAAGCGUGGGGAGCAAACAGGGAUUAGAUACC
This 453-nucleotide ribosomal RNA is filed under the name uncultured bacterium. RNAcentral's name for it is "bacterial SSU rRNA". It matches the Rfam family "Bacterial small subunit ribosomal RNA", at positions 340 to 786 of the family's 1533-position model. The record is from RNAcentral.